UGAUUAUCAACAUCGGAUUAUCUGAUUAAAAAUAGUGUUAGGGUUUAUGUAUUUCGAUUUUUUCUGAUUUACUAGAGUUACUUUUAUAUUUUGUUUUGGACGCAGCCUAAAAUACUCUUGGCGAUUGGAUGUGGCCAGAUUCCCGUACAUUUCUUGGAUAGUAUGCCUUGCUAAUACAUCAACGGGGCAGUUGCGUGCAAGGAGGAUUGCCAAGCUAAAGAAACAUGAAUGCAAAAUCGGUGUAGACGAUGUUAUGUACAUGCUAAUCUGCUGCAACUUCUUCGACCUUAAAGUCCAUCUAAUUCCCACGUAUUUCAAAGCGUAUUUACAACAAUAGACUAGAAGUCCUUUCAUCAAAGGACUGGGAACUCGAGUCAAUCCAUAGUUUUGAGAUCCUUGAAAUGAUAAAGGAGCACCUAACAUCUGUUAUUGGAUUGAGAUCAGAUUUUAGUGUCACUGACAAUUUGGCAACCACCAAAAGCAAGCAUCGUGAUCUUUGGAGUAGUAGUUAUUAGAUACCAAUACUAUUUAUUUUAUAUCGAAGCACAUUUUUAAUUUAAGAACUAUGAUAAUCUAUUUGAAAAUUUAGUGCAAAAUACUUUGUUCUCAUA
Molecule: long non-coding RNA, 611 nt
Organism: Erigeron canadensis
Lineage: Eukaryota; Viridiplantae; Streptophyta; Magnoliopsida; Asterales; Asteraceae
Exons: 3
Source: RefSeq, a predicted model, not a curated record